This is a long non-coding RNA of Dreissena polymorpha, 1270 nucleotides long. RefSeq lists it as uncharacterized. NCBI's taxonomy places the organism in Eukaryota, Metazoa, Mollusca, Bivalvia, Myida, Dreissenidae. The transcript is spliced from 6 exons. The record is from RefSeq and is a predicted model, not a curated record.
AUCCUUGUCCCGCACUAAUCCAUUCCAACACUGCUCUUAGAUGUAUGUCGCGGUACUGCGAUAGGAUUAUUUACAAGCUUAUUGGUUAUAAACAAAAACAAUUAAAUACAAAAAUACCUUAAUACAUAAAAAUAAAAUAAUCAAAUCUCAUUAUGAGAAGAAUAAAAGUAAUAUUAGCCUAAUUCAAAUAAACAAUUUAUAUCAUACGUUCAAGCGAGUAAAUAAGUCAAUACAAUAUCCAAGUAAGAAUAUAAAUAUGUUAACGUCAUCUAUUUCUUAGUUCUAUUUUCCAUUUAAGUUUAAGUAUGUUCUUAAUUGUGUUUAAAGCCAUUUUUAUUAGACAUGGCAUUUUAUUUUUGCAGCAAAAUGUGCCAGGGGGUAUAUAAAUAAUGUAGUGUUUAUUACUUUUAAUAUACCUUUUCUAUCUUGAUGGUAAAUCAUCAAGUCAGAAUACAGUUCUGUUAUAAGGUUAAUAUUAUCCUACAUUUAAGCUGUAUGCCUGUUGUUUUUAGGACUAUGGAGUGAACUGGGAACUACAGGACGUAAAGGCAUAACGCGUUUUAAAUUAAGAGUUUUAUAUUAUUCCGAGUCUAGUUCGCAGUGCAUUGCAAAGUAAACACAUGUGUCGUAAUUUUACAUAUGACUUAAUGACAACAAUGAUAUAAUUACUCUUCUUCAUUAUUUAUUUCGCAGUAAUUUCCGUGUACGGCAAGUGCGAGAGUGGGAAGAUCUUGAUUGGAGAAAUUGAUUGGGAAGAAGCGCUCGCUGCAGUACACAUCAAUCACCAAAACUCUGUUUUGGCUCAAAGCUGCAGCUGGUUGUUGACAUCUGCUGAUAUCAUUAAGGACUUAACAGAGGAAGAUGUGUGGCGGAAUGAUUUAAAGAAAGAAAGUGUUAAAUGCAUGAGUCUACGCGCAGACAAAGAGUUAUUUGCUCUUAUCGCCUUUUACAAGGAUAAAGACCCAGAAAGCAGCGAUUUUCUAGAAAUGACCAAAUGCCUGCUUGAUGACUGCCCGAAAGACUUUGAUGAAGACCCGGACGAAGUUUAAGAACGAAAAUAUGCUGGACACUCGAACAGCUUCUCCAAAAACAGUGAUGCACAACAAAAUCUUUGAAGACCUUUGUAAUAAGUUUAUAAUAGCCAUUGAAAUAUGUAUUUAAUCGUUGAAAAUUACAAUUAACAAUAAUAAACUUGCAUUUCAUCUUGAAUAAACAAUGUUUAUCCACAUGUUGUGUAUACCUCGGAAAAAUUAAAUUUCUUUAUGCAAGA